UACGAAACUGCUCUAACCCAGCCCCG
RNAcentral lists this non-coding RNA (26 nucleotides) under Mus musculus (house mouse). Lineage: Eukaryota; Metazoa; Chordata; Mammalia; Rodentia; Muridae. The record is from RNAcentral.